GGGGAGCUGGAUUCCCCCGGGACAGGCCGUUCCCCCUCGACGGAGUCGCCGCACACUUGGGACGUGUGCCGGGCGUUUAGAAGGUGGCGUUUGACCAUCCAGUCUGAGCCACGCCGAUGUUUGAUUUGGGUAAUGAUGGUUUCAUCCAAUGUCUCAGCUGAUAACCACGUGUCAGUGCAGUUCAGAGCAGCAGAAGGGUGUGCUGGGCAGAGUACACCGGGCUUUGGUGACUUGGGACUGGACAUACAAGGAACACGAAGGAGGGCUACAUCAUGCCGCUUUGGACUUGAAACCUUCUAAUUCUUAGUAGGUGGAUGUGGAGUCAGCUGGGAAAUGCAAGGUUUGUACGUUAUUAAAAAAUACAUGUUAUUUCUAAAUAAAAGCAUGAAAUUUAUAUGCCUUCAUCCAUCAUCCAUUGACUUUCACUCAGCAGUUCAAGGAGCUCUACAAGCUCUUGAAAAAGUGCCAUUUGCUGUGGUCAAGAAGAGGCCACAAAUUUUGCAAGGACUGAGCUUGGUGCCAACCUCAUGAAGGCAAACAGAAUCCCCAGAGAAGGAAACAUUCCCCUGGAUCUCCUGUGGAUUUCAGAGUGCCAGACUGGUGACAGGAAAAGGAUAUAAUGAGGAGACAUAAUCAGACCAUUUCACUGACUCAGUAUCAACUCUUUCCCAUGGAGAUUUAUGCUGUGCAGCUCAGCUCCACUAUUAUACCCAGCUGAUGAAUUUUUUCCUGCAGAGGCCCUGAGAGGACAGGCAUACACAUCCUGCAAAGGUACAGGAGCAUUUCCCUGCACAGGAACUCUGAUCGGUGACAUGGCCUCCUAUCAGCCCUGCUUCUUCCCCAGCUAAUAUUGUUCAUGUACUAUAAAAGAACUAUUGCAGAGCAAAGACUAGCUUUGUACAGAUUAUGUCUUAAGGGUGCUUGGACUUUGAGUCUACAGACACAGGAUUCACUGAAAUUGCAGAGCCCUGAAGCUCGGUGUUCUCCUGGCAUAGACUUGUUCACUCUGAUGGGCUGUGCUGCCCAGAUACUCUAAUAAUGGAGGAUCACCUAAAUUUCUAUUUUCAGGGGAUGCAGAUAUAAAUUAGAAUAACAGUUUAAAUCAAAUACAUUUUUCAGAAAACAUACAUUUUGAGGAAGGGGUUAAAUUCUGCGUGAUACAAACUUUCUCAGCACUCCCAUGGCAAUCAGAGCAAUUUGGAAAAUGUUAUCUUCUGAAAAAAAUCAGAAGCCUGGGAACACCAGGUUUUCUCUUUAGCAGAGAAUGGCUAUCCAUGCAGGAGGGCAUCUGUGCUCUUCAGUCUCCCCUGCUAUAAAAAUUCCUGCCUGCAGUGAAGGAAAGAAAAUUGGUUUCAGAACAGGGCUGCUGCUUUACUUGAACCUUGUGUUUGCAGAAUGCAACUGCUUUGAUUACACCUAAGACUGUUUUAAAUGCUAGAAAAGCUGUCUGUGUUCACACCAACAUACGAUCUUUCCAUUUACCCAGCUGGAUGCUGUUACGAGCUUCCUGUUCAUUACCUGUUUGUUUUGGCAGGACUGUUCAAGGGUGACAAAAGCAGAAAUCAGUGGCUAAAUACAGGCAAAACAUCUCUUGUUGGUGCUCUGGCUUUUGAGGGAGGGCUUUUUCUACACACAGGAAUUUCAGUGUUCAGACUUAAAAAGUUUAGUUCCAGUGAUAGAGAAUAGAGUGAUUGAAGCUGUUUUUGUUCAAGGAGUCUAACAGGAAAGAUGAAGGACUCCUUGGAAGCCAAAAGAAGGAGGAAGAAAAGUGGGAGAAAAAGGAAUGUGAAGAACAUGAUUCUGUCAGAGACAAUUUGAGAACAGCUGGGAGGUUUAGGGAUGCCUGUGUGAGUAGUCAAGUGAUGACAAGACAGAGGAGCUGCUGGGGCAAAAACCUCUGUGAGAACAAUGGACCAAAUGAGUCCUUGUGUCACCAUGUUUCUGGAAGUAUGUGGGCCUCUACAAAGCCUGAGAAAGCUGCUGUGGAACCAAGACAUGAUGUAGGAGAAAGUCUGGCUAAAAAGCCCUGGGUCCCGUUGGGUGCAGACACCAGCCACUCACCUUAGGGAGGCUGCUUGAGCAGUGUGUGUGCUGCAGGCAAUGGCAGCCCCGAGCCACAGACACUGCUUUGAGACUGCGACACGUGGCCUUUCUCCCUGGAACAGGAGUCCUCCCUCUGUGCUUGUCACAAUAGCCAACACGCAGGAGAUCAAACUGAUCCCUCCCCAGCCCCCAGACCUGGAAGGUGUGGUUCAGGCAUUACCUUGUCCUUACCCCUCUGCUGCUACAACUCUGCCAGCUGGGCAAAGCUGAUUCCCAGUGCUAAGUGGGGAUGGAUGUGCAUCCAUGGUGUGGACACAGCUGGGGUGUUAAUGGGCAUCCUGAAGGGAGGUAAGCAAACACUGGGUAUUUAAGCAGUGGCCCUCUUAGCAAAAACGAACCACCAAAGGCUCCUGUGAGAAAGGCUAUUACAGAAGGAGGGGAAGCUCUUGGGAGUUUAUUUUGUAAAAUGUGAAUAAACCCAGGGAUGAACAGAGACUCCAGGGCAGAGAUGGGGAAUUGUUCUGGCACUCCAGGGGAGCCAUCUUCAGCUCCUGCAUUAGCACAGCCCUUUCAGGCAGUCCCAGCAACUCUCAGGAAGGGAUGUUUCCCUCUGCCAUCAAUAUUUUCCUGGCACAAGUUCCCCUUUCCCAGAUGACCCCGGGGCAGGAACCUCUGUUUUCACAGUAUGUGGGAUUAACGACAAAGAUCCUUUAUAUGGACACAGAGAAGAGGAAAGUCUAUCCCUUCUUCUGUAAAGAUUUGCUCUGAAAAGUGAUUCCACGCUGGCCCCUUGCCACAUAAAGCCCUGUUUCCAGUCCCAUGGCUGUGAAUUUGGUGGGACAGAAAUAUUACAUCUAUUGAUAACCCAGAGGUGUCAACAGAUGUAUCAAUAAGUUUGCAGCCAAGAUUUCUGUCUUGUCUAUCCUUUCUUGCUCCCAAAGAUCCGAAAACCUAGACCAGGUUUCUUAGAGGAAAUAUUGAGGCAGUAUACCUCACUCAGCAUGGAAUUGCCUACCGGUCCCAAAACUUCAGCUGUUGCAAGAAAACUGCAUGUCAACAAAUAAAAAAAAUGAAGCAU
This is a long non-coding RNA of Taeniopygia guttata (zebra finch), 3121 nucleotides long. NCBI's taxonomy places the organism in Eukaryota, Metazoa, Chordata, Aves, Passeriformes, Estrildidae. The record is from Ensembl.